This 127-nucleotide non-coding RNA is filed under the name Acinetobacter radioresistens. Its description in RNAcentral is "TPP sequence". It matches the Rfam family "TPP riboswitch aptamer (THI element)". From Rfam's summary of the family: Vitamin B(1) in its active form thiamin pyrophosphate (TPP) is an essential coenzyme that is synthesised by coupling of pyrimidine and thiazole moieties in bacteria. The record is from RNAcentral. Lineage: Bacteria; Pseudomonadati; Pseudomonadota; Gammaproteobacteria; Moraxellales; Moraxellaceae.
ACAUGCUUGACGGAGCGCGAGUAAUUACUCGCUGAGAUCAUGUAAUUCCUUUUUUCAGGAAUUGAUCAUGAGUACCGUUGAACCUGAUCAGGUUAAGACCUGCGUAGGAAUCAAGCCAUCUAAAAAC